RNAcentral lists this ribosomal RNA (822 nucleotides) under Triticum aestivum (bread wheat). Its description in RNAcentral is "partial small subunit ribosomal RNA". The record is from RNAcentral. Lineage: Eukaryota; Viridiplantae; Streptophyta; Magnoliopsida; Poales; Poaceae.
AUGGAGAGCACCCAGAGCAACACAAGCGUGAUGAACCAUUUCAUCCUGGUGCACGGCCUCUGCCACGGGGCCUGGUGUUGGUACAAGGUGGUUGCGGCGCUUCAGGCAGCGGGGCACCGUGUCACGGCGGUCGACCUGGCCGCGUCCGGCGCUCACCCGGCGCGCAUCGACGAGGUGCACUCGUUCGAGGAGUACUCCCAGCCUCUGCUUGACGUAGUGGCCGCGGCGCCAGAGGGUGGCGGCGAGAGGCUGAUUCUGGUCGGGCACAGCCACGGCGGGCUCAGCUUGGCGCUAGCCAUGGAGAGGUUCCCCGGCAAGGUCGCCGCCGCCGUGUUCGCAGCCGCCGGGAUGCCGUGCGUUGGCAAGCACAUGGGCGUCACCACCGAGGAGUUCAUGCGAAGGACAUCAUCGGAAGGACUCAUGGACUGCAAGAUGCUGCCAAUCAAUAACAACCACGGUGCAGGGGUUGCAAUGAUAAUGGGCCCAAACUUCUUAGCACGCAAGAACUACCAGCAAAGUUCACCUGAGGAUUUGGCCCUGGCAAAAAUGUUGGUGAGACCGGGAAACCUGUUCAUGGAGGAUCCGGUGAUGAAGGAUGCAAGCCUGCUCACCGAUACCAACUACGGGUCGGUGAAGAAGGUAUAUGUGGUAGCAAAGGCUGAUGGCUCCAGCACCGAGGAGAUGCAGCGUUGGAUGGUGUUGUUGAGCCCCGGCACGGAGGCCGAGGAGAUCGCGGGAGCUGACCACGCCAUCAUGAGCUCAAGGCCUAGGGAGCUCUGUGAUGCUCUGGUCAAGAUCGCCGACAGCUUAAAUACUUGCUAA